AUGGAUCAGCUCCUCGUGCUCCUGGCGCUUCUCUUGUGCGGCCUCGUCGCCGUCCUCCGGCGCGGCCGUGCUCCUCCUCCUCCGCCCUCACUCGCCAUGCACAAGAUCAGCGACCCUGCCGUCGCCCACCGCGCGCUCGUCGAGAACGCCGACGCCUUCUCCAACCGCCCGCCCGCGCGCCUGCACGUGGCCCUGGCCGGCCGGCGUGGCGGCCAGCGGAGCGAGAACCUCAACUCCGUGGCGCACGGACCGCACUGGCGCGCCCUCCGGUGCAACCUCACCGCCGAGACCCUCCACCCGUCGCGCCUCGGCGGCCUCGCGCCCCUCCAGCGGGAGGCCGUCCAGGCUCUCGUCGCCGCCCUGUCGUCCGCCCCCCGUGGAAGCCGGGAGGAGGUGACGGAGGUGCACCAGCACCUCUAUGGCGCCGUGUUCUCGGUCGUCGCGCGCCUGUGCUUCGGUGACGCCGUCGACGAGGCCCAUGUGCGCGCCAUGCGCCACGUCAUACAGAGGUACCAGAUCGCCAUUGGGCUGGUCAAGCCCUUCACGUCCAUGGGCUCCGUGAUGGAGAAGCUCGUGGAGUGGAGGCGGCUGCGCAGGCUCUUCGCCAUCGAUGUCCGGCUAAAGGAGCUGUUCCUCCCUCCCAUCGACGCACGGCGGCAGAGGGGUCAGUCUCCUCGACCACGCGACGACGACGGCCGUCGUCCGUACGUCGACUCACUCGUCGACCUACGCGUCCCUGACGAGGACGGCGGGCGGCGCGCUCUUAGGGACGACGAGAUGGUGCACCUAAUUUCGGAGUUCCUCGGUGCCGGCACGGGGACGGCGGUGGCAACCCUCGAAUGGGCCCUCGCCCACCUUGUCGACAAGCCGGAGGUGCAGGAGAAGCUCCGUGGCGAGGUCGACGAUGGCGAGGUCUCCCGUGCUGGUGCAGGCAUGCCUUACCUGCAUGCCGUCGUGCUGGAGACCCUACGCAUGCACCCGCCGCUGCCGGUCAUCCCACGCCAUGUCCAUGCCGAUUCCGUCGGGGUGCUGGUCGGAGGAAUGGCCGGGCCGCCGCCGGCCGGCGACUUUUACGUGAAUUUCUCUGCAGGGGACAUUGGUAGGGACAGCAAGAUAUGGAAGGAUCCCGACGAGUUUCUUCCGGAGAGGUUCCUGACCGGCGGCGACGGGGAGGGCAUCGGCCCGUUGCCGGGGCCCAAGCAGAUAAGGAUGAUGCCAUUUGGCGCCGGGCAUAGGUUCUGCCCUGGCGUGGGCAUGGCGAUGGUGAACAUGAAGUGCUUCUUGGCGGCGCUCGUGCGCGAGUUCGAGUGGGCGCCGCCGACUGGCACCAUCGCCAUUGACCUCACGGAGCUGGAUUCCUUCUUCAAGGUGAUGAAGAAGCCGCUUUCUGCGCGUGUCACGCGACGCACCAAAUCCAUCUAA
Molecule: ribosomal RNA, 1422 nt
Filed under: Triticum aestivum (bread wheat)
Lineage: Eukaryota; Viridiplantae; Streptophyta; Magnoliopsida; Poales; Poaceae
Description: partial small subunit ribosomal RNA
Source: RNAcentral